AUCUAGGUUUUUUACCGGAUCGAUUAUCAGUGCCCGAAGUGCGGCGCUGAAAAAAACCGAAAUCGCAAAAUAAGGCAGCGUCAAGCCGAUGCUUGCUCACGAUCAUUAGCUCGUCACUGGUAGGAUCAGUUCAGGCCCCUUAUUCCUGACAUUUCCCACCUUCUUAUCGACCGGGAAUAUCUCGAGCCAUUCGUCGGGGC
Molecule: unclassified non-coding RNA, 200 nt
Filed under: Hevea brasiliensis (rubber tree)
Lineage: Eukaryota; Viridiplantae; Streptophyta; Magnoliopsida; Malpighiales; Euphorbiaceae
Source: RNAcentral